This 463-nucleotide ribosomal RNA is filed under the name uncultured bacterium. Its description in RNAcentral is "partial 16S ribosomal RNA". It matches the Rfam family "Bacterial small subunit ribosomal RNA", at positions 28 to 507 of the family's 1533-position model. The record is from RNAcentral.
GAUGAACGCUGACAGAAUGCUUAACACAUGCCAGUCUUUGGUGAAGCUGUGCUUGCACAGCCUAGCCAAGGCGGACGGGUGAGUAACGCGUAAGGAACUUGCCCUGCAGUCAGGGAUAACAGACGGAAACGACUGAUAAGACCUGGUAAAGUCAGGCGGACUCAUGUCCAGCCUGAUGAAAAGAGAUGCUGCAGGAGAGCCUUGCGUCCUAUUAGCUUGUUGGUGGGGUAACGGCCCACCAAGGCAAUGAUAGGUAGCCGGCCUGAGAGGGUGGACGGCCACAAGGGGACUGAGAUACGGCCCUUACUCCUACGGGAGGCAGCAGUGGGGAAUAUUGGACAAUGAGGGCAACCCUGAUCCAGCAAUUCUGUGUGCACGAUGAAGGUUUUCGGAUUGUAAAGUGCUUUCAGCAGGGAAGAAAAAAAUGACGGUACCUGCAGAAGAAGCGACGGCUAAAUACGUG